UACGUAGGGUGCGAGCGUUGUCCGGAAUUAUUGGGCGUAAAGAGCUUGUAGGCGGUCUGUCGCGUCUGCCGUGAAAUUUCGGGGCUCAACCCCGAACUUGCGGUGGGUACGGGCAGACUAGAGUGUGGUAGGGGAGAAUGGAAUUCCCGGUGUAGCGGUGAAAUGCGCAGAUAUCAGGAGGAACACCAAUGGCGAAGGCAGCACUCUGGGACGUGACUGACGCUGAGACGCGAAAGCGUGGGGAGCAAACAGG
Molecule: ribosomal RNA, 253 nt
Filed under: uncultured bacterium
Lineage: Bacteria
Description: partial 16S ribosomal RNA
Rfam family: Bacterial small subunit ribosomal RNA
Source: RNAcentral